Molecule: small RNA, 395 nt
Filed under: Arabidopsis thaliana (thale cress)
Lineage: Eukaryota; Viridiplantae; Streptophyta; Magnoliopsida; Brassicales; Brassicaceae
Description: ATSL018610
Source: RNAcentral
CAAAAAUACAUAAAAUUAUACCUACCAUAGAUGGCGAUGUUAUAUCAUUUGUGAAUUCGGUAUGUUAUAUGUAUGAUAGCUGAUUUUUUGCGCUAACUACGUACAUAGUUUUUGUACUGUGCCAUCUAUCCGUGAGAAUGCCAAACUUUCAAGACUUUUCGAAUAUUACAAGCUAUGUGUCUCAAUUACGAAAAAAUAUAUUCAUGUUGGAAAUUUUGUACCCGUAGGAAAUGUUUUAGGAUAUGCAUUUGUUAUGGCGAGUCAAUGACUGACGAAUGAUGAGCCUGUAAUAUUAAACGAAUCGUUAUCUAAAUUAUUACAUAAUUAAAAGUCAUAGUUUAUUUCAUAAUUAUUAGUUUUAGUUUUAUCAUCAUCUGUUUUCACCAAGAAAGAAA